Molecule: ribosomal RNA, 497 nt
Filed under: uncultured bacterium
Lineage: Bacteria
Description: partial 16S ribosomal RNA
Rfam family: Bacterial small subunit ribosomal RNA
Source: RNAcentral
GAUGAACGCUGGCGGCGUGCCUAAUACAUGCAAGUCGAGCGAACGGACGAGAAGCUUGCUUCUCUGAUGUUAGCGGCGGACGGGUGAGUAACACGUGGAUAACCUACCUAUAAGACUGGUAUAACUUCGGGAAACCGUAGCUAAUACCGGAUAAUAUUUUGAACCGCAUGGUUCAAAAGUGAAAGACGGUCUUUCUGUCACUUAUAGCUGGAUCCGCGCUGCAUUAGCUAGUUGGUAAGGUAACGGCUUACCAAGGCAACGAUGCAUAGCCGACCUGAGAGGGUGAUCGGCGACACUGGAACGGAGACACGGUCCAGACUCCUACGGGAGGCAGCAGUAGGGAAUCUUACGCAAUGGGCGAAAGCCUGACGGAGCAACGCCGCGUGAGUGAUGAAGGUCUUCGGAUCGUAAAACUCUGUUAUUAGGGAAGAACAGAUGUGGAAGUAACUGUGCAGAUCUUGACGGUACCUAAUCAGAAAGCAACGGCUAACUACGUG